Molecule: long non-coding RNA, 737 nt
Filed under: Homo sapiens (human)
Lineage: Eukaryota; Metazoa; Chordata; Mammalia; Primates; Hominidae
Description: non-protein coding lnc-ROBO3-2:5
Source: RNAcentral
GGACCGGGGAAGCCUCUGGAGGGUAUAUCCGGGAAGGCACCAAGGCUGAAAAAGAUGCAGUCUAGCACCUCAGUUAAGAAUAUGGACUCUAAAGUCAGACUGCCAGGCUUCAAAUUCCAGUUCUGCGACCUCAGCAAAGUUACUUAACCAAGCUCUCAGUGCCUUGUUUUCUUCAUCUGUAAAAUGAGGAUGACGUCACAGCAUUGUUGAGAGAAUUAAUACAGGCUCCAGACUUGUGAAUGGAGAAGUGUUGAGGUGACCCCAGCUCCAGCCACCAGCUGACGACAACCAUACCGGAGAUCCUGAGAGCUGCCUAGCUGACCCCAGGCACCCCCCAGACUUCAUGUAAGCUGUUUGAAGCCGAGGACUUUGUCUGUUUUGUUCACUCCCAAUAGAUUCAGCACUUAGAAGAAUGCCAGGCAGGCUUUCCCCACCAACCAAGAUGGAAUAACAGGGAAAAGACAUACCCUUCUAUCUUCAAUAAUUGGAAACCCAGACAAAGUUUAUGAAACGCUGGUUUUCAAGACAUAGGACAUCAGACAAUCAAGGACAGUAAACACUGAGAUGGGAAACAAACAAGGAAGCCAUGAAAACUUCAAAACUGCUUCACCACCUGGAGACCAAGCACCCUGCAUUAAAAGACAAGCCUUUGGAGUUUUUCUAAAGAAAAAACAUGAACACAGAGAACAGAAGUAAUUAUUGAAGGCCACUACUUCAUUAAGUGUGUCUGUACUGAG